GCUAGAAGGAGAUUCUAACUUGGUGAACAAAACAAUAAAUACAAAAUGUGGAAGAUUAUUGAGUUGCAGCUCUAACAAGUUGUAUCAGACUUAUAAAAAACUCGUACAAUCUCAUGGUGCUGACUAUGCAAAAAGCCACCCGCCAAAGAAUGCCACACUUAAGCAGUGGACUGAACUCAUUGAAGGGAGAUGGACCAAUAAGGACUGGCUGGAAAAAUCAAGAAUUAACUCUGAAAAUAGGAGCAAAACUUCAGGCAAACAUAGAUGCGGGUCAAAGGCACUUGCUGUUAGGGUUGAUGAGGAGACAAAUAAUAAUGGCGGUCAAGUUCCUGAAUUGGCAAAAAUUUACAAAGAUGUUCAUUUCAAUCCAAAUACAAAUAGGUGGAUACAGCCUGAGGAUGAA
Molecule: long non-coding RNA, 403 nt
Organism: Quercus robur (English oak)
Lineage: Eukaryota; Viridiplantae; Streptophyta; Magnoliopsida; Fagales; Fagaceae
Exons: 3
Source: RefSeq, a predicted model, not a curated record